CAACUAGUGAGGGUGAGCAAAAUGAUCAACCGGGCGUAGAUGAUCUUGAUUUGCUUGAAUGUUUAGAAAACCCGAGUUGUGAUUGUCCUUGUGAAAACGAUUUUGGUUGUGGUCCUUUGGCUGCCCGUGAUGGUUUGUAUGUAUGUGAGGACUACUGUUGUGAAAGAGAAGGUGAUAUGUGCUUAGAAAUGCCAUCUACUUCUUCUUUAUGUGUUUCUUAUGUUGAACAUAUUUCUAGUGGAGAUUUUGAAACUAGUAGUAAGUGCAUGCAUGAGAACCCUUUAUUUGAAGUUGACUUAUGAAACACCUUUCUCAACCCUCUUUUUGUUCAUGAUAUUUCCAAUGAUGAUAAAGAGGGCUUACUUAGUUUCGAGGAUGACACCCUAGGGGAAAGUGAGAGUGGCUGAGGCUUAAGCCCUUUGUUACGUCUCCCAUUCGACCCCGAUAACUUCUUAGGGUGUGAAGGACGGAUAGUUAUUGGUAGGUCCACUUGUUUGAGUGACAUUGCUAUAUGUGUUGCGUGGACUUUACUUUCAAUUAGAGCACCACCCCUUGAUGGUGAUUCCUUUCGUCCACUCCUUUGUAAUAUUUUUGCUAAGUUCCCCGUGAUUACAACAAAGGAUGUGUGGUUAUACCUUAAGUGUGUACCUCCUUGGCAUGUUGAUGUUGUUUAUUGUGCUAACUCUAACCCUCAUGUCAUUAGGAUGUGGUGCUUGGUUGUCUUCUCUUUGUGUUUGCAAGGUUUGGAUUCGAGGUCGAAUCCUUUUCAAGAAGGGGAGGAUGAUACGAGUCAAACGACACUCAUAGUUUUUGCUGACGUCCUUGGAGACCAACACAUAAAGGCUCAAUUUUUGGUCGCCUCGAGGACACGAGAGCAUGCAUGUAGAGACCGUGAUGGGCACUUGAUGGAGCAAUGCCGAGCGUGGAAGGUUGCUUGGAGCACUAAUGACUUGAGGACUCACGGUUUUUGGAGCUUGAAGAAGGCAUCGUUGGAGUGUUAGGACUCAAUGUGAGAAGUCCUCAACACACCAAGGCCACACCUCAUUAAGGGUGUUUUGGCCAUUUCAUCUUACCUUCUAACACACCAAGGCCACCCUUUAUCAUUAAGGGUGUCUUGGUCAUUUUGCCAUGUAAUAAGCUAGGCUAUAUAUAGUUCCUUAUUGGGUCUUUUCUCUUUAGUUGUUUAUUGAUGGUAGAUAAACUCUCUCUCUAGUGCGAGGAGUGUAACACCCCUUAGUUGUAGGACUUGGAAAAGCCACCAAUCCGUAACUAGGGUUGCCCAAGUGUGGAUAUCACUUGUGUUGCAUCGUUGGCUUGAUACGUUGGUGAUUAGGGAGGUAAAGUUCCUCUUUUGUCAACGUACGAUUUUGGUGUUAACAUUCAUUUAUCUUACGGUCCUUACAUGUAGUUAGGGUUCUUAGAUUCUUGAAUAUUGUAUGUCAAACUAUCUAUCCAUCUCUUUUGUUAACAUUAUAUUGUUGUUGGUCUAUGAAGUCUAGUGAAGCCGUGUGGGGCUCUUUCGAUUCACUAGCAUUGUUGUUCUUGUGUUCAUCUCUUUUCUUGCUCAAAACUAAAUCUAAAGUCUAGUGAAGCCGUGAGUGGCCUAUUUCGAUUCACUAGCACCUUGUUGUUCAUCUUGUGUUGGCUUGAAUCUCUUGAUACACACUUAGUCUUGUAUCAAGUAGUUUGUGUUUAGCCAAUAAAUUUAAAAAGCAUUUUUGAGUUGAAAUUAGUGUUCAGCAGCCAAGCUUUCUCAAGGUGCUUCUAAGUAUAUUUUUCUCAGAAGCGCUUGUGGGGAAAGACUACUUAGCUUCUGAAAAACAGCUUCUGCUGCUUCCUAGAAGCACUUCUUUUCUCCCAAAAAGCUUGGCAAAACAUCUUACUUUUUUAAAAUAACCACUCUUUGGAAAAAAAAGCACUUUUAGUCUCCGAAAAGCUAGGCCAAACAGGUCAUUACUCCUUGCUCUUGGACCUCCGGAGUUUAUAUCGUCCUUGGUAUUGAUUGAAGCCCCUUCUUUUCUUUGAAACUCUGAUUCUUCUUCAAACUCCUGCUAUUUCACUUUGAUGUCAUUCUCCUUGAUUCUACUUCAGAUCGCUUUAAGUCUUCUGUGAAGAGCGCAAGUUGUGAGGUCACUGGAAAAAGUUAUCUGCAUUCUUUUCAGUUUUGUGUGCUUUCUUAUUAUUAACAAAAGGGAAAAAUGAGAAGGAAAAGAAGUCCGAGAAUUCAACUAUCAGAGCACCACUUUUGCCCUCAAUUCCCUUGUUUACUAUUUACUAAUGUUAAGUUCCUGGCGGUGGAAAUUAUGUUUCUUGGGUGGUGUCGGUGAAAGUAUAGUUUGUGGAUGAAGUAUAAUGGGAUCAUUGAGUGUAAAUUUCUCUGAUACUGCAGUCCUCGGUUGAGCAACAAGUAAGAAGAUUCACAAAUAGCAUUAAGGAAAUUGCUUGGGGACUAAUGUUAUGGUAGCACAAAGAAUCAGUAACUUUGAACAAAAAAGAGGUUAAGAGUUUGUAGCCUUGCACAUACUGUGAUAAGUGAAUAUAUACAAGUGGAUGCUUAUUGGACUCGUCAUGGAAAACCCCCACCUAGCAAUGGAUGUCUCCAUCAUAGUGACAACAUUGAUUACCCCCACCUAGCAAUGGAUGUCUCCAUCAUAGUGACAACAUUGAUUAGACUAGUGCUAACCUGCAAUUGUUCGCUUUUAAUACAAUCUUCAUCUUUUGGACUGUGGAUACUUUGGGCUAUCAGUCCUCAAAUCACAUCCUGGUAAGGUAAUCUUUUUUUGUCAAUUUAAUUCGUGUCUUAUCUUCUACCUUCACCUUAUCUGAUGGAUCAGAUGCUCUAGUUAAAAGAACAGGUGAGGCUCUUUCUUCGCACCUUUAGCUUUUGUCUUAUUUGUAUCUAAAUGCCGUUAUAUAAUAAUAUGUAUUACUUCCUCCAGUUUCAUUUUAAUGCAUCUUAGUUUGAUUGCGUACAAAAAUCAAGAAAGUAACGGAAAAUUUUGAAUCUUGUGGUCUUAAACUAAAGAUUUGUGAAAUGCACAAAAUUGUCCAUUGAAUCUUGUGGUCUUAAACAUGCUUAUGUAAGAUAUUGGAACUAAAUAGUUACUGAAUGUAGAAAGUGAAAUACUUUUUGAAACUGACUAAAAAGGAAAGAAAGACACAUAAAUUGAGAUGGGUGGAGGGAGUAAGACACAUAAAUUGAGAUAGGCGGAGGGAGUUUCAGAUUAACCUAAGCGUAAUUUGUUCUAUAACUUUCUUUGCUAACUAUGUUUUUUUGUGCAUGACUGGAGUAUGAGAGGCGUGAUUUAAUAAUACACAAGUCACGGGGCUUGUAUUAAUUAUCCUGUCUAGAGGCGCCCGUGGCUUUCACUUUCUUUGACUCAUCUAUUUUUCUUCAUAAUAGGUGGGAGAUGUAUCUUCAAGUUUUAGUAGAUAUAACCCUGAAUCUCUCUAUUUAUCUUGGAAGAAGUGUGAGUCGUGUCGGUCACGAGAAGAUACUGGUGCUUUUUUCCCAAAUUUUUAGUCAAUAUUUGCUGGUGCCUUGUUUGAAGUGGUCCACUCAGACAUAUGAGGUUCAUGUUGUGUUAAUCCGCUUUCGGCUUUCAGUACUUUCCUUUUUUAUCUGAUGACUAUUUUCGUUGCACUAGUUUUUCUCCGUAAUAAUCGAUAUGAGUUAUCUUCUGUCUUUCAGAGAUUAGCAAUCAAAAGUGGUUGAUCUCUCAAGAAAUGAGUGCACUAAUGAAUGAUGACAUCUUUAGGACAUCUUUAUCCUCAGAGCCCUCACUUGGUACCCAUGUCAGAAUCCAUUUACUCAUUCCUCCACGUGUUUGGCUGACCAGUUCCGUUCAAGAUCUCAUAUCUGGAAAAGACAAACUUCCGCCCAAGUCAAAUAAAUGUAUUUUUUAUGAUAUUUCUCUCUGAAAAUUGCUAUGAUUCUGAACACCAACUGAGAAUUUGUUUCAGGAGACUUAAAACGUUUUCUAAGACUUUUUAAUAUAUUUCAGCAAAACUCAAAUAAAUAAGCAUCUGCAUGGCUUGUAAUCCCAACUCCAUUACCUCUUCGAGUUUAGCGUGAUCAACUCGCAUGCGUGUUAAUCCGGUCGAUGUUUUUCCUCAUGAUAGAUGUCUGCAGAUUACUUCCAGUGGAUUAUUGCAUUCUUCAAUAUCACACACUUCUGGUUGAGCCCUUGACAAACAGGACUAAUUAUCCUUUUUAGAGGACUUUGGCAGAGGUUAAUCAUGCAGAAGUAAUGACCCAUCUUGGUUGGCUACUUGUCAUCAGACUAUGGUCGUGGAAAUGACUAUAAUCUAACAUGAAAAUGGUACUUGGGGCAUAGUCUGUUCACCAUGUUGGAAAGCUACUGUUGAAUGUCGCUUGGUAUUAUACUGUCAGAAGUAAGGUGAGAUGGGGAGGUUCGAGACCUUAAAGUUCAGUUCGUUGUGCGAAAGAAAAAGAUACUCAGAAGCCAAAGUUGCAUCUCUUCGCCUCCUUAUUUGUAUGGAGGCUAUAUUCUAUUGAUCUCUUCAUCUCUUCAUUAGUCAGAUGUCACAAAUGUCUUUCCAGAGAACUUCCUAAGGAACUUUAUAGGGAGUCACUAAUCACGAUUGCCUUCCUGGAGAAUUUUCUUAGGAAGUUAAUGUGGAGCCACCGUCAAGGUUUUCGUUCAGGUAGCAUCUAGAUUAGUGUGUUGGCUACAUUAAUCUCAUGAUAUUAUAACCAAUUCUGAGAGGCAAAGUUCUAUUUUUUUGGAAAAUAGCUCGCUGGACUCUUGUACUUGGUCUGAUUUAUACUUCUACGUAGUCCUUUUGUCAUCUGAACCAUUCAACUUAAUAAAACUCAGCAUUUUAAAUCCUGCA
Long non-coding RNA from Capsicum annuum, 4857 nucleotides. RefSeq lists it as uncharacterized. Lineage: Eukaryota; Viridiplantae; Streptophyta; Magnoliopsida; Solanales; Solanaceae. The transcript is spliced from 3 exons. The record is from RefSeq and is a predicted model, not a curated record.